GCAUGCACUUCCUUGAUUGCCUGAUCCCUCAUAGCCUACGUGUAGCCGAUCCCUCGGGGUUUUAUUUCUUCUUACCUGAAGGUAACAAAUUAAUUCGAGUGUACUCGGUGAAGCUUUCAACAUUAUGCUUGGUGGAGGACAACAUACCGGUCCAGAUUUAGCGAGCACAGAAUGGAGUUAUGAAAGACAUGGGACUAAAAUAUUAUGUGAUCAGGAAACAAAGGAAAAGAUUGAGAUGGCAUACUACAAAGAUGAACCCAGAGUAGACGUAAGCCUACAUGGAGAAGUGUUUAUUAUUGAUCUGAUGACUAAAACUGGCCAGGGGCAGCAGACUGGUGAACACAUAAUACUAACCAGGAAGUGGUUGAGAUCCUCUGAUCAACCUGCAGGAUUUAUUUUUCCUGAGAAUUGGACACCAAUGCCACACCCUAACACAACUGUGCACACAGUACAGCUCUCCUCAGACUCCUCAGAGUAUCAAGAUGUCAUGGACAAGUUGCAAGCCACUGCAAGUGCACUAAAUGUCCAGAAAAUUGAAUGAAUACAAAAUCCUCAUCUGUAUCAGACUUACA
Orbicella faveolata is the source of this 572-nucleotide long non-coding RNA. NCBI's taxonomy places the organism in Eukaryota, Metazoa, Cnidaria, Anthozoa, Scleractinia, Merulinidae. The record is from RefSeq and is a predicted model, not a curated record.